RNAcentral lists this ribosomal RNA (576 nucleotides) under Actinobaculum sp. 316014/08. RNAcentral describes it as "bacterial SSU rRNA". It matches the Rfam family "Bacterial small subunit ribosomal RNA", at positions 35 to 606 of the family's 1533-position model. The record is from RNAcentral. Lineage: Bacteria; Bacillati; Actinomycetota; Actinomycetes; Actinomycetales; Actinomycetaceae.
GCUGGCGGCGUGCUUAACACAUGCAAGUCGAACGAUGAAGCCUGUAACUUGUUGUGGGUGGAUUAGUGGCGAACGGGUGAGUAAUACGUGAGUAACCUGCCCUCCUUUUUGGGAUAAGCCUUGGAAACGGGGUCUAAUACCGGAUAUUCUGGCAUGCUCGCAUGGGUGUGUUGGGAAAGCUUUAUGUGAAGGGGGAUGGGCUCGCGGCCUAUCAGCUUGUUGGUGGGGUGAUGGCCUACCAAGGCGGUGACGGGUAGCCGGCCUGAGAGGGUGACCGGCCACAUUGGGACUGAGAUACGGCCCAGACUCCUACGGGAGGCAGCAGUGGGGGAUAUUGCACAAUGGGCGAAAGCCUGAUGCAGCGACGCCGCGUGGGGGAUGAAGGCUUUCGGGUUGUAAACCUCUUUCGCUAUCGAACAAGGCUCAUUUUUUGGUGGGUUGAGGGUAGGUGGAGAAGAAGCGCCGGCUAACUACGUGCCAGCAGCCGCGGUAAUACGUAGGGCGCGAGCGUUGUCCGGAAUUAUUGGGCGUAAAGGGCUUGUAGGCGGCUUGUUGCGCCUGCUGUGAAAACGCGGG